RNAcentral lists this ribosomal RNA (348 nucleotides) under Triticum aestivum (bread wheat). RNAcentral's name for it is "partial small subunit ribosomal RNA". Lineage: Eukaryota; Viridiplantae; Streptophyta; Magnoliopsida; Poales; Poaceae. The record is from RNAcentral.
AUGCGGUCAUUUUACUGUUUUUGCCGUGAACUUGGGGAGCUUGGGACAGAGUAUGGUGUCAAUAAUCAGUAUAUACCAGAACAAUAUUUUUGUGAUAUUGUAUAUACUGACUUAGUGAUAGUGGAGUAUUUACCACAUUUUUUCCAUGGACUUUAUACUGCAUUUUUGAAGGGGAGCCUUGGCGCAGUGGUAAAGCUGCUGCCUUGUGACCAUGAGGUCAUGGGUUCAAGUCCUGGAAACAGCCUCUUACAGAAAUGUAGGGAAAGGCUGCGUACUAUAGACCCAAAGUGGUCGGACCCUUCCCUGGACCCUGCGCAAGCGGGAGCUACAUGCACCAGGUUGCCCUAA